This 457-nucleotide ribosomal RNA is filed under the name uncultured bacterium. RNAcentral's name for it is "bacterial SSU rRNA". It matches the Rfam family "Bacterial small subunit ribosomal RNA", at positions 340 to 789 of the family's 1533-position model. The record is from RNAcentral.
UACGGGAGGCAGCAGUGGGGAAUAUUGCACAAUGGGCGAAAGCCUGAUGCAGCUAUGCCGCGUGUAUGAAGAAGGCCUUAGGGUUGUAAAGUACUUUCAUCGGGGAGGAAAAACAAAACUAAUAAUUUUAUUUCUUGACGUUACCCGAAAAAGAAGCACCGGCUAACUCCGUGCCAGCAGCCGCGGUAAUACGGAGGGUGCUAGCGUUAAUCAGAAUUACUGGGCGUAAAGAGCACGUAGGUGGUUUUUUUAAGUCAGAUGUGAAUCCCUGGGCUUAACCUAGGAACUGCAUUUUGAAACUGAAAUACUAGAGUAUCGUAGAGGGAGGUAGAAUUCUAGGUGUAGCGGUGAAAUGCGUAGAUAUCUGGAGGAAUACCUGUGGCGAAAGCGGCCUCCUAAACGAAUACUGACACUGAGGUGCGAAAGCGUGGGGAGCAAACAGGGAUUAGAUACCCGU